CGGAAAGGAAAUUUCUGGAACCUUCUAUUCUGCGGCGCUCCACAGCGAGCGGAGGGCUGAGGACUGCGCAGAUGGUGCACGGGCACAGCUCUUCGGUCCGGUUCGCCUCUCUCACCGACCAGCAAUGAAGAUGGCAGCUCUGCCUGGAAGUGCUGAGGACACAACCAGCCUUGAGCUUGGUCCUUCUGGCCGAGGAAGUCUCCCGAUUAUGCAGUGGAGUGAUUCCAUAGGGAAUUUCAGACUCUUGCUGCAGUCGUCACAACCCCUCCUGACUCACUGAGCCUUCGCUGGCUGUAGCUGGCUCCCUUGGAGCAUCCUUGCCUCCUGCAGCGCCAGAUCCGCAGAGCAGGGGAACAACAGGAAUAGCAGCGACGACGGUGGUCCCUGCAGCGAGACAGACAGGCAUAAAUACACAUACACACAGGAACAGUCCGAGGCAGCCGUGGAGGGAAUUCUGUACAGCCAGGAGCUGGACUAAGCCAUGAUUGCUCGGUUGCGUGGAAGACGGGUGGGUUGAGUCUCUUUUCCUGAGUGUUGGCUGCAUGGACGACUCUUUGUGGUUUUCCUGUCACAGUUGUGGGGUGGAGGACCCCGUAAUUUGUAAAGCUAGUGCUGCUUCAUGACAUUUCUCAGUGUUUUAAAGGAGGUGCCACUGGCAGCUGGUUCAGUGUUCAGUGCAGGGAUGUAUCUGAUUUAAUUCCCUUUGCCACCAUCUUUUUGCCACAGUUAGUUUAACUGAGAUUGAACACAGGGAGGGUAAGGAGACACAGAUAAACGAGGAGUUAUUUCAAUGUUAAACUUCAGCUGUAAAUCUCAUUACUCAGGAAUUGAGGUUACUGUCAGCAGGUAAAUCUGUGGGACUGGCAAGAAACAAGGCUAAGAAGGGGACAUGGCAUAUUUCUGUAGGACAGCAGUGAUUGUGUGCACAGGGGUGGCACUGUCACUGCAAGCUGUACGUGGCUUAACUGUUCCAUAAUCAUUUUCUGCAUGUUGACUCAAAAGGACUUGGGAAAGCUGUGAUUCCUUCCUCCCCCUGACACUUGUGCGUGUGCCAUUGUGUGAGCUGAUUCAUUUUUCCGAGUCUGGGUUUCCUUGCUCUGGGCAGUGGGGUUUGCUCCGUGUCUCGGCCCUGGUGCAGCACUGACGCAGUUCGUUAACGCGCCGGCCCUCGCUGACAAAACACACGCGAUUUUCUUGGGCGUUCUGACCCUUCCAAGGGCCGCAAAAUUCGGGCGAGGAAGUUCAGGAUUGCAAAUGCUCACGAUAUAAACUUAAAAGCAUCACCAUCCUAUUCUUUGCUAGUGGAGGAAGGCUCUGUGAGUGACGAGACAGCCACGAUCUCCCCCCUGCACUUGUUUUGCCGAUGGUCAUGUUACAUCUGUGACGCAGACGAAUUUUGCUGUUGGUUCCUGCCUGUGCUUUAGGGAGUCGGGCUGAUGAGGGCACAAGCUUGAAUAUGGUUAGAAACAUUAAUUUAGUAUUGCUGGUACAGGUUCAAACCAUACCUGAAGGGUCAGGGGUAUUGGAUGCACCUAUUUCACAGCCCCAAAUGGCGAAGGAAUUCGGAUGAACACAACAGCACCCCUGGCCAUUUUGCUGCUCGCAGAGUAGACUCGGAGCCUGCAGCUCUGCUGCUGCUGCUGCUGUUCAUUUCCAUGUUAUACAAAUACAGUGUUGGGCUCAGUGUCAGGAGCUUUCCUGAUGCUGUGAGAAGCUUAAAGUCUACAAGCAAAUGUUAUUCUUAUUUGGGAAGAUUAAUUAAAAUGACCAAAUGCCAAGUAUUCUACCCUCGCUCCUCUUACAAAUCACAUCCAGAAAAUUCAGCGGUGCCGUGUAUGUUUUUUAAAACUUAAUCACGGUGUUUUCUUACAGUUUAAUAUGGGUGUGGCUGGGGGGGAAGGGUAAGAUUUAAUUUGGUAAAUAUCUGUAAUGCUGAUGUUAAUGGACAAGUACGUAGGCAAGAGAUAGUUGUCCAUAUCCUCUAUAUAUCUGCAUAUAGAUACAGACAGUCCCAAGCCCAGGUUGGGAAGAUGCCCUCGUCACAAAAUGAGAAGGGACCACUCUGGCCCGUUCUCACCCACCCAAACGUUUCAGUGCAAAGGCAGCAGCAGAAAAGGCCAAGUUGGAAUCUCAAUCUCACAAAAUGGUUCCACCAGCACUCAGAGAUGCCAACGCCGUUUAUACUGGCACGGCUCCGAGAGCGGCACGGCGAGCUGCCUGCUGCAAGGUCAUUCCCCUGACUCAUGGUCAGCAACCAGUUAGUUCAGGA
Molecule: long non-coding RNA, 2269 nt
Organism: Neopelma chrysocephalum (saffron-crested tyrant-manakin)
Lineage: Eukaryota; Metazoa; Chordata; Aves; Passeriformes; Pipridae
Exons: 3
Source: RefSeq, a predicted model, not a curated record